Molecule: ribosomal RNA, 492 nt
Filed under: uncultured bacterium
Lineage: Bacteria
Description: partial 16S ribosomal RNA
Rfam family: Bacterial small subunit ribosomal RNA
Source: RNAcentral
AGUGAACGCUGGCGGUAGGCCUAACACAUGCAAGUCGAACGGCAGCACAGUAAGAGCUUGCUCUUACGGGUGGCGAGUGGCGGACGGGUGAGGAAUACAUCGGAAUCUACUUUUUCGUGGGGGAUAACGUAGGGAAACUUACGCUAAUAACGCAUACGACCUACGGGUGAAAGCAGGGGAUCUUCGGACCUUGCGUGAUUGAAUGAGCCGAUGUCGGAUUAGCUAGUUGGCGGGGUAAAGGCCCACCAAGGCGACGAUCCGUAGCUGGUCUGCGAGGAUGAUCAGCCACACUGGAACUGAGACACGGUCCAGACUCCUACGGGAGGCAGCAGUGGGGAAUAUUGGACAAUGGGCGCAAGCCUGAUCCAGCCAUACCGCGUGGGUGAAGAAGGCCAUCGGGUUGUAAAGCCCUUUUGUUGGGAAAGAAAAGCAGCAGGUUAAUACCCCGCUGUUCUGACGGUACCCAAAGAAUAAGCACCGGCUAACUUCGUG